Molecule: ribosomal RNA, 483 nt
Filed under: uncultured bacterium
Lineage: Bacteria
Description: partial 16S ribosomal RNA
Rfam family: Bacterial small subunit ribosomal RNA
Source: RNAcentral
UUGAACGCUGGCGGCAUGCUUUACACCUGCAAGUCGAACGGCAGCGCGGGCUUCGGCCUGGCGGCGAGUGGCGAACGGGUGAGUAAUACAUCGGAACGUGCCCAGUAGUGGGGGAUAGCUCGGCGAAAGCCGGAUUAAUACCGCAUACGACCUGAGGGUGAAAGCGGGGGAUCUUCGGACCUCGCGCUAUUGGAGCGGUCGAUGGCAGAUUAGCUAGUUGGUGGGGUAAAGGCCUACCAAGGCGACGAUCUGUAGCUGGUCUGAGAGGACGACCAGCCACACUGGGACUGAGACACGGCCCAGACUCCUACGGGAGGCAGCAGUGGGGAAUUUUGGACAAUGGGCGAAAGCCUGAUCCAGCAAUGCCGCGUGUGUGAUGAAGGCCUUCGGGUUGUAAAGCACUUUUGGCGGGAACGAAAAGGACUGUGCCAAUACCACGGUUCGAUGACGGUACCCGCAGAAUAAGCACCGGCUAACUACGUG